This 337-nucleotide unclassified non-coding RNA is filed under the name soil metagenome. RNAcentral's name for it is "partial contains 5.8S ribosomal RNA, internal transcribed spacer 2, and large subunit ribosomal RNA". The stretch from base 1 to 120 matches the Rfam family "5.8S ribosomal RNA", at positions 35 to 154 of the family's 154-position model. The record is from RNAcentral.
GAUGAAGAACGUAGCGAAAUGCGAUAAGUAGUGUGAAUUGCAGAAUUCAGUGAAUCAUCGAAUCUUUGAACGCACAUUGCGCCCCUUGGUAUUCCAUGGGGCAUGCCUGUUCGAGCGUCAUUUGUACCUUCAAGCUCUGCUUGGUGUUGGGUGUUUGUCUCGCCUCCGCGUGUAGACUCGCCUUAAAACAAUUGGCAGCCGGCGUAUUGAUUUCGGAGCGCAGUACAUCUCGCGCUUUGCACUCAUAACGACGACGUCCAAAAGUACAUUUUUACACUCUUGACCUCGGAUCAGGUAGGGAUACCCGCUGAACUUAAGCAUAUCAAUAAGCGGAGGA